This 355-nucleotide unclassified non-coding RNA is filed under the name Hevea brasiliensis (rubber tree). Lineage: Eukaryota; Viridiplantae; Streptophyta; Magnoliopsida; Malpighiales; Euphorbiaceae. The record is from RNAcentral.
AAAACCAUCAAUUUGUAAUUUGUUUAUGUGGGAGAAAGAAGGUUGAAUGGGAGACCUUCCAAUAAUUAACAUAGUAUCUGAAGCACAAUAAUGUUGUAAGAACAACAAUAGUAUUGAAUUAAGAGAGUUCAUCUAUCACCAGUUUCGACAAAGAGGGCAGCUUGGACAUUCAGGUUACCAUGAACACAUAAUCAAGAGAGAGAAGAAAAAAUAACUGGAACAAAACAUUACUGUAUUGGCUUCACUAAUUUUAUAACAUCUUAUUUUAGAGUAAAACCUGAUCAGUUUCUUAGUUUCAUAUUUUCAAAAUCUGCAAAGCUAAACAUAACAAUUAGAUAGACCUAUAAAUUUUUAC